CAGCAGCCGCGGGAAAACGUAGGGUGCAAGCGUUAAUCGGAAUUACUGGGCGUAAAGCGUGCGCAGGCGGUUCGGAAAGAAAGAUGUGAAAUCCCAGGGCUCAACCUUGGAACUGCAUUUUUAACUACCGGACUAGAGUAUGUCAGAGGGAGGUGGAAUUCCACGUGUAGCAGUGAAAUGCGUAGAUAUGUGGAGGAACACCGAUGGCGAAGGCAGCCUCCUUGGAUAAUACUGACGCUCAUGCACGAAAGCGUGGGGAGCAAACAGGAUUAGAUACCCCAGUAGUCCCUGUCUCUUAUAC
This 301-nucleotide ribosomal RNA is filed under the name uncultured bacterium. Its description in RNAcentral is "partial 16S ribosomal RNA". It matches the Rfam family "Bacterial small subunit ribosomal RNA", at positions 509 to 807 of the family's 1533-position model. The record is from RNAcentral.